This is a small nuclear RNA of Mustela putorius furo (domestic ferret), 134 nucleotides long. Its record names the gene U1. It matches the Rfam family "U1 spliceosomal RNA". From Rfam's summary of the family: U1 is a small nuclear RNA (snRNA) component of the spliceosome (involved in pre-mRNA splicing). Its 5' end forms complementary base pairs with the 5' splice junction, thus defining the 5' donor site of an intron. The record is from Ensembl. NCBI's taxonomy places the organism in Eukaryota, Metazoa, Chordata, Mammalia, Carnivora, Mustelidae.
AUACUUAUGUGGCAGGGAAGAUAACCAUAAUCACAAAAAAUGUUCUCUCAGGUGGAGACUAGUAAAUUGCACUCAGGCCAUUCUGACCCCUGUGAUUUCCCCAAAUGUGGGAAACUCAACGGGUUCAAGGUUUC